RNAcentral lists this long non-coding RNA (1647 nucleotides) under Anas platyrhynchos platyrhynchos (common mallard). RNAcentral describes it as "lncRNA (ENSAPLG00000022198.1)". Lineage: Eukaryota; Metazoa; Chordata; Aves; Anseriformes; Anatidae. The record is from RNAcentral.
CGGCCCACACAGGGUUUUGAUGAGUGCUUUUCAUUCAUGGAUCAGGGAGGGCUUCACAAAGGAGAGCUAUAAAUAAGACAGAUGGGAGUGAGGAAUGGAGCGGGGCUUUUAAAGGGCAGUAGGUUGUUCCUUUAAGGGUUUCUGGAGCUGAGGACUCUUUAAGAGCUCUCAUUUUAUGGAAAAUAAAAUAUUUUUGCAGUAGCACACUGUGCCAAAUAACUUGUGCAUAGAUAUUUACAUUGUCGGGGGAAAGUUUUGUCGUGCUGUGUACAAAUUGUUUCUAGCUAGGCUUUCAGAAAACACAAAAAGCAAAGCAUUUAAUGUUACAUAUUAACAUAGCAUGCACAUGUUUUAGGCACUUUUAAAUUGAACAGAUCAAAGCCUUUCAUUCCUAAAUGCCAGAAUCCGGUGAUAUUUGUGUAACCAUGCAAUUUGACCUGUCUGUUUUACAUGUUCCCAAAGGGGUUAUUAUAGGCAGCUUUCAAAUUAAGUGGGCUGGAACAUUUGCUGCUCCCUUCCCUCGUUUUCAAAGCCUGUGCAGAGCCCAUACUGCGUGACUGACGCUGCUGUUCGAGUGGUAGCAGUGGGGUUUUGUCACAAGGUACAUAACACAGCGAAGGAAGGGACAUUAUCCCUGGCUCUGUCACUCCAAGGCAGCUGUUUCGUUGCUGUGUCCUUCAUCCUUCCCCUCCACAGAGCUGGGAGCAAUAUUUCCUCAUCCUCUGAGGUGUCUCAAAGCUUAUUUCACUGUACAAAAAGGAACGGGCACCUUGCAAUCAAAAGGGUCGGCAGGAUUAGGACAACAUCUGUGUGUACUGUGGCAGCCAUGGUUCCCAUCAUUUUUUGAUGAAUGGACCUCUACCAACUUUCCGUGUUCCUCUCAGAACACCAUGCACCACUAUUACCUGAAAACUAAUUGGAAACAUUAAUGGAAACAUUGCUUAAUGUAGCUCCAGAGACCAGCUAUGAAUUAAUUGCUACAGCUAACUGUAACCCAUCCAGAAUUUAUUUUGAACCACCUCAGGUGCUGAGAACAGACUGCAUGGACGGCAGAAGGAAUGAUCUAGACCCAGCAACUGAUCUCCAGUCCUGAAGAGUGGUGUAUGAUGUCGUUUUACGGUGUUAGACCCCUGCUGAUGGGACUAUAUUGUAUAUAUAAAGAGUUUUGGCAUUAGCCAUUUCCCCAGAGUUCUCUUCUUUUGUAGGAAGUGGCUCAUGUUCCUUCUUUUACAUACUUGAUUUAUUAUUUCAGGUCUCUGAAAGUGUGCUCUUUUUCUGCAAUGAUCAGUGAGGCAAUAUCUGCAGAAUAUGGUAAACAACAUCGGGGCCAUUAUCUUGUUCAAGGCUGACUGGCAUGGUUGGAUACAGCUAUAUUUAUAAGCUUUAGCAUUCAAAACAGGAUGGUCUCAUCCAGGCUGGGACUGUUUCAAGGCCUGAAUCAUAUUAUGAAUGGUGUACAGGAAUUGUUUGUGAAAAUGGUGGUUGUCUGAGAUAAGACCAUAACUCUUCUAGCAGGGUAAGAUAGGGAGGAUUCAGCCCCAGUGCCCAAGAACUUUUCCUGCUCUGUUCUAUUCAUCUGUAUGGGGGCAACCUGCAUGGCAGUUCUGGUGAUUUAUAUUAAAAUAAAAACAAUGUCUUUAAAAAACA